RNAcentral lists this ribosomal RNA (1330 nucleotides) under uncultured bacterium. RNAcentral describes it as "bacterial SSU rRNA". It matches the Rfam family "Bacterial small subunit ribosomal RNA", at positions 28 to 1381 of the family's 1533-position model. The record is from RNAcentral.
GACGAACGCUGGCGGCGUGCUUAACACAUGCAAGUCGAACGGACCCUUUGGGGUUAGUGGCGAACGGGUGAGUAACACGUGGGUGAUCUGCCCUGCACUUUGGGAUAAGCCUGGGAAACUGGGUCUAAUACCGGAUAGGACUACGCACUGCAUGGUGUGUGGUGGAAAGCUUUUGCGGUGUGGGAUGGGCCCGCGGCCUAUCAGCUUGUUGGUGGGGUGAUGGCCUACCAAGGCGACGACGGGUAGCCGGCCUGAGAGGGUGACCGGCCACACUGGGACUGAGAUACGGCCCAGACUCCUACGGGAGGCAGCAGUGGGGAAUAUUGCACAAUGGGCGCAAGCCUGAUGCAGCGACGCCGCGUGAGGGAUGACGGCCUUCGGGUUGUAAACCUCUUUCGCCAGGGACGAAGCGCAAGUGACGGUACCUGGAGAAGAAGGACCGGCCAACUACGUGCCAGCAGCCGCGGUAAUACGUAGGGUCCGAGCGUUGUCCGGAAUUACUGGGCGUAAAGAGCUCGUAGGUGGUUUGUCGCGUUGUUCGUGAAAACUCACAGCUUAACUGUGGGCGUGCGGGCGAUACGGGCAGACUGGAGUACUGCAGGGGAGACUGGAAUUCCUGGUGUAGCGGUGGAAUGCGCAGAUAUCAGGAGGAACACCGGUGGCGAAGGCGGGUCUCUGGGCAGUAACUGACGCUGAGGAGCGAAAGCGUGAGGAGCGAACAGGAUUAGAUACCCUGGUAGUCCACGCCGUAAACGGUGGGUACUAGGUGUGGGUUUCCUUCCUUGGGAUCCGUGCCGUAGCUAACGCAUUAAGUACCCCGCCUGGGGGGUACGGCCGCAAGGCUAAAACUCAAAGGAAUUGACGGGGGCCCGCACAAGCGGCGGAGCAUGUGGAUUAAUUCGAUGCAACGCGAAGAACCUUACCUGGGUUUGACAUGCACAGGACGCCGGCAGAGAUGUCGGUUCCCUUGUGGCCUGUGUGCAGGUGGUGCAUGGCUGUCGUCAGCUCGUGUCGUGAGAUGUUGGGUUAAGUCCCGCAACGAGCGCAACCCUUGUCUCAUGUUGCCAGCACGUUAUGGUGGGGACUCGUGAGAGACUGCCGGGGUCGACUCGGAGGAAGGUGGGGAUGAUGUCAAGUCAUCAUGCUCCUUAUGUCCAGGGCUUCACACAUGCUACAAUGGCCGGUACAAAGGGCUGCGAUGCCGUGAGGUGGAGCGAAUCCUUUCAAAGCCGGUCUCAGUUCGGAUCGGGGUCUGCAACUCGACCCCGUGAAGUCGGAGUCGCUAGUAAUCGCAGAUCAGCAACGCUGCGGUGAAUACGUUCCCGGGCCU